UACAGAGGGUGCGAGCGUUGUCCGGAAUCACUGGGCGUAAAGGGUGCGUAGGCGGUUGUUUAAGUCUGUCGUGAAAUCCCCGGGCUCAACCUGGGAAUGGCGAUGGAUACUGGGCAGCUAGAGUGUGUCAGAGGAUGGUGGAAUUCCCGGUGUAGCGGUGAAAUGCGUAGAGAUCGGGAGGAACAUCAGUGGCGAAGGCGGCCAUCUGGGACAACACUGACGCUGAAGCACGAAAGCGUGGGGAGCAAACAGG
Molecule: ribosomal RNA, 253 nt
Filed under: uncultured bacterium
Lineage: Bacteria
Description: partial 16S ribosomal RNA
Rfam family: Bacterial small subunit ribosomal RNA
Source: RNAcentral